RNAcentral lists this ribosomal RNA (497 nucleotides) under uncultured bacterium. RNAcentral describes it as "partial 16S ribosomal RNA". It matches the Rfam family "Bacterial small subunit ribosomal RNA", at positions 28 to 507 of the family's 1533-position model. The record is from RNAcentral.
GAUGAACGCUGGCGGCGUGCCUAAUACAUGCAAGUCGAGCGAACAGACGAGGAGCUUGCUCCUCUGACGUUAGCGGCGGACGGGUGAGUAACACGUGGAUAACCUACCUAUAAGACUGGGAUAACUUCGGGAAACCGGAGCUAAUACCGGAUAAUAUAUUGAACCGCAUGGUUCAAUAGUGAAAGACGGUUUUGCUGUCACUUAUAGAUGGAUCCGCGCCGCAUUAGCUAGUUGGUAAGGUAACGGCUUACCAAGGCAACGAUGCGUAGCCGACCUGAGAGGGUGGCCGGCAACACGGGAACGGAGCCAGGGCCCAGCCCCCGAGGGGAGGCGGCAGAGGGGAUUCUUCCGAAAGGGGGGAAAGCCUGACGGAGCACCGCCGGGUGGGUGAUGAAGGUCUUCGGAUCGAAAAACUUUUUUAUUGGGGAAAAAAAAAUGUGAAAGUAACUGUGCACGUCUUGACGGUACCUAAUAAGAAAGCCACGGCUAACUACGUG